Molecule: long non-coding RNA, 201 nt
Filed under: Lathyrus oleraceus (garden pea)
Lineage: Eukaryota; Viridiplantae; Streptophyta; Magnoliopsida; Fabales; Fabaceae
Description: Pisum sativum (pea) long non-coding RNA (PSAT_LNC040566)
Source: RNAcentral
GAAAGAUAUGUAUUGAACAUCAAAAUUAACUAAGUAUAUACUUAUAUCCUUAAGAACAUACAAUGUCAUCUUCUAUAUUCUGAUAAUUAAACAAUUAACAUAAGUUAUACAGAUUAAAAAAUAUGCUAAAAUACUAAUUAUAAAUAGAAAAUGAAAAAGAAAAAAGAAAACAGAAUAAUUAUAAGAAAAUGAAAAUGAUAU